AACGGGGGGAGCUAGUGUUAUCGUCUUACCUGGGCGUAAAGGGUAUGUCGGUGCUAGAUAAAGGUUAAAUUAAAUGCUUGAUAGUCAUCAUUCACGUUUAUUCGAUAUCUAUCUUGAAUUUAGGGGGGAAAGCCGUAUUCUUUAUGGAAAAGUGAAAUUUGCGAUAUAAGGAAGACGGUCAGUGGUGAAAACAGCUUUCUUCUAAGUAUUGACACUAAGGUACGAAAGCAUGGGUAUGAAGAGG
RNAcentral lists this ribosomal RNA (244 nucleotides) under uncultured bacterium. RNAcentral's name for it is "partial 16S ribosomal RNA". It matches the Rfam family "Bacterial small subunit ribosomal RNA", at positions 524 to 775 of the family's 1533-position model. The record is from RNAcentral.